UACGUAGGGGGCGAGCGUUAUCCGGAAUUACUGGGCGUAAAGCGCACGCAGGCGGUUGGCCAAGUUCCUACUGACAAGCAUCGGCUUCACUGAUGAGGGGGUAGGAAAACUGGCGAACUUGAGAGCGAGAGAGGGAUAUGGAAUUCCAGGAGGAGCAGUGAAAUGCGUAGAGAUCUGGAGGAACACCGAUGGCGAAGGCAGUAUCCUGGCUCGUAUCUGACGCUCAGGGGCGAAGGCCAGGGGAG
This 245-nucleotide ribosomal RNA is filed under the name uncultured bacterium. RNAcentral describes it as "partial 16S ribosomal RNA". It matches the Rfam family "Bacterial small subunit ribosomal RNA", at positions 524 to 768 of the family's 1533-position model. The record is from RNAcentral.